AAGUACUAACCAGGCCCUACUCUGCUUAGCUUCUGAGAUCAGACGAGAUCAGGCGGAGCCAGAGAGGUAUGGCCGUAAGCAACUGUAUGUCCUCUACCUAAUCUUUUAAUAUGUGUCAAAGGUUUUGUAGUUUUGACAAUGAAAUGGAGUCACUUUCUAAGUUCUUCUCUGUGUCUUUUACAGAUAGAAAUGAAAAAGCUUACGGCACCUGGGAUUCCCAGGCGGUCUUCCAUCCAAGUACUAACCAGGCCCUACUCUGCUUAGCUUCUGAGAUCAGACGAGAUCAGGCGGAGCCAGAGAGGUAUGGCCGUAAGCAACUGUAUGUCCUCUUCCUAAUCUUUUAAAAUGUGUCAAAGGUUUUGGAGUUUUGAUAAUGAAAAAGGAUUCACUUUCUAAUGCCUUCUCAAUUUCUUCCAGAGAGAGAAAUGAAAAAGCUUACGGCACCUGGGAUUCCCAAGCAGUCUUCCAUCCAAGUACUAACCAGGCCCUACUCUGCUUAGCUUCUGAGAUCUGACGAGAUCAGGCGGAGCCAGAGAGGUAUGGCCGUAAGCAACUGUAUGUCCUCUACCUAAUCUUUUAAAAUGUGUCAAAGGUUUUGGAGUUUUGAUAAUGAAAAAGGAGUCACUUUCUAAGGCCUUCUCUGUGUCUUUUACAGAUCGAAAUGAAAAAGCUUACAGCACCUGGGAUUCCCAGGCGGUCUUCCAUCCAAGUACUAACCAGGCCCUACUCUGCUUAGCUUCUGAGAUCAGACGAGAUCAGGCGGAGCCAGAGAGGUAUGGCCGUAAGCAACUGUAUGUCCUCUUCCUAAUCUUUUAAAAUGUGUCAAAGGUUUUGGAGUUUUGAUAAUGAAAAAGGAUUCACUUUCUAAUGCCUUCUCAAUUUCUUCCAGAGAGAGAAAUGAAAAAGCUUACGGCACCUGGGAUUCCCAGGCGGUCUUCCAUCCAAGUACUAACCAGGCCCUACUCUGCUUAGCUUCUGAGAUCAGACGAGAUCAGGCGGAGCCAGAGAGGUAUGGCCGUAAGCAACUGUAUGUCCUCUUCCUAAUAUUUUAAAAUGUGUCAAAGGUUUUGGAGUUUUGAUAAUGAAAAAGGAUUCACUUUCUAAUGCCUUCUCAAUUUCUUCCAGAGAGAGAAAUGAAAAAGCUUACGGCACCUGGGAUUCCCAGGCGGUCUUCCAUCCAAGUACUAACCAGGCCCUACUCUGCUUAGCUUCUGAGAUCAGACGAGAUCAGGCGGAGCCAGAGAGGUAUGGCCGUAAGCAACUGUAUGUCCUCUACCUAAUCUUUUAAAAUGUGUCAAAGGUUUUGUAGUUUUGACAAUUAAAUGGAGUCACUUUCUAAGGCCUUCUCUGUGUCUUUUACAAAUAGAAUUGAAAAAGCUUACGGCACCUGGGAUUCCCAGGCGGUCUUCCAUCCAAGUACUAACCAGGCCCUACUCUGCUUAGCUUCUGAGAUCAGACGAGAUCAGGCGGAGCCAGAGAAGUAUGGCCGUAAGCAACUGUAUGUCCUCUUCCUAAUCUUUUAAAAUGUGUCAAAGGUUUUGGAGUUUUGAUAAUGAAAAAGGAUUCACUUUCUAAUGCCUUCUCAAUGUCUUCCAGAGAGAGAAAUGAAAAAGCUUACGGCACCUGGGAUUCCCAGGCGGUCUUCCAUCCAAGUACUAACCAGGCCCUACUCUGCUUAGCUUCUGAGAUCAGACGAGAUCAGGCGGAGCCAGAGAGUUAUGGCCGUAAGCAACUGUAUGUCCUCUUCCUAAUAUUUUAAAAUGUGUCAAAGGUUUUGGAGUUUUGAUAAUGAAAAAGGAUUCACUUUCUAAUGCCUUCUCGAUUUCUUCCAGAGAGAGAAAUGAAAAAGCUUACGGCACCUGGGAUUCCCAGGCGGUCUUCCAUCCAAGUACUAACCAGGCCCUACUCUGCUUAGCUUCUGAGAUCAGACGAGAUCAGGCAGAGCCAGAGAGGUAUGGCCGUAAGCAACUGUAUGUCCUCUUCCUAAUCUUUUAAAAUGUGUCAAAGGUUUUGGAGUUUUGAUAAUGAAAAAGGAGUCACUUUCUAAGGCCUUCUCGAUUUCUUCCAGAGAGAGAAAUGAAAAAGCUUACGGCACCUGGGAUUCCCAGGCGGUCUUCCAUCCAAGUACUAACCAGGCCCUACUCUGCUUAGCUUCUGAGAUCUGACGAGAUCAGGCAGAGCCAGAGAGGUAUGGCCGUAAGCAACUGUAUGUCCUCUACCUAAUCUUUUAAAAUGUGUCAAAGGUUUUGUAGUUUUGACAAUGAAAUGGAGUCCACUUCUAAGGGCUUCUCUGUGUCUUU
Long non-coding RNA from Gasterosteus aculeatus aculeatus (three-spined stickleback), 2300 nucleotides. NCBI's taxonomy places the organism in Eukaryota, Metazoa, Chordata, Actinopteri, Perciformes, Gasterosteidae. The record is from Ensembl.